UGACGACCACAACACUUUGAAACAUCCCUUCCCGUACGAUCACAGAAGUUAAGCAACGUCGAUCCUGUUCAGUACCUAGAUGGGUGAUUGUUUGGGAAUACCAGGUGCUGUAA
Molecule: non-coding RNA, 113 nt
Organism: Acanthosepion pharaonis
Lineage: Eukaryota; Metazoa; Mollusca; Cephalopoda; Sepiida; Sepiidae
Source: the annotation of a GenBank genome assembly